Long non-coding RNA from Neoarius graeffei (lesser salmon catfish), 1337 nucleotides. RefSeq lists it as uncharacterized. The record is from RefSeq and is a predicted model, not a curated record. Lineage: Eukaryota; Metazoa; Chordata; Actinopteri; Siluriformes; Ariidae. The transcript has 3 exons.
GCAGCGCAGAAAGAGGGGAAACAAACACUGCUUUACUCUACAGGAUUCAUGUGAACAUUACUGGAUACAACAAUGACAGAAGUGAAAAAACUCGCCUGCAUCAAUUCCCAAAGGACAAAAAGGUAAGAAGGUAAUGGAUAAAUGCCAUUUGCCGCACAGGGACAGACCUCUCACGGGCUGACUGGACGGGUCCUUCAGGUGCAAAAACAGCACAUUUGCAGCUUGUGUGCUCGGAACAUUUUGAAGAAAAUUGUUUCACUCGAACAGCUCGGAUGCCCCGGCAUUAGGAAUACCGUACACGCCAGCGCUGAGUCCAGAUGCGGUUCCCACAAUCUUCGGCCAAAAAGCGGACAAGACAAAUGGGACAACAUGGUCAGUAGUCUGCAAAAGACAAGUUUAAAGGCAGGUCACUCCUAGUUUUUCUCCUGACUUUGUAGCAUGUUCUGCCGUGUGGAUCCGGUGCUGCUGACAUCAGAACUGGACUGAGAAUUCCUCUGCACCCAGUCCAGAGCGAAGACCCGCAACAUGAGGAAAAAUCCUGCACAGAGCACACAGUGUGUGUUCAGGAGUUAAUUUCAUCACGGACAGGAAAUUUCUGCCACAUAAACAAUGGCGUUUACGACGCUGCCCUUCGGCUCGGUCUGUGUGGCAACAGGAAAGGAGAGAAACCGCCCAGAAACUCACCUUGUAACGAGUUAAUGAUGCAGAAGAGGAACAGGCUGGUUUCUGAGGUUCCAGAAGGAAUGAAAAUGACAGCCCAGGUGGAACCGAACAGACAGCUGAGACCCCAGAUGCUGAGGAAGGUCAUGCAGUUCGUCCUCCACUCAUUGCGGUGACGGAUCUUCCUGAACACCAGGAGAAGCAUGACGAGGCCGGAGCUCACCACCAUCAGCAGCAGCCCCGUGUUGAUGAUGUAGUGAGCGAUCAGAGCCGAGGAAGAGUCCGUCAUCCAACACCUGAACCGACAUGCAACAUCUGGAUCAUUAUUAUUCCUGAACAAAUAAUCCAUGUUCACACACACUGUGCAAUUAACCGUUAUGCCUUACAUGCGAUAUUCAGUUUCAUCAGACUUCACCGUCUUCUUGCCGUAAACGUUUCCAAUGGAUCCCAGAAUAAUAACCGGCACAGCUGGAACACCUGGAACAGACGGGGAAAUAGCAAAAUUCCCCAUCAAGGAAAUACACGAAUAAAAACACGGGUUCUUCAUCCUUUCUUUCUUUCUUUCUUUCUUUCUUUCUUUCUUUCUUUCUUUCUUUCUUUCUUUUUCGACUCACAUGAAGUACAGCUCUAAUGAAAAUUACAGAAAUCACACUGCAGAGAAUAAAAAGCAUUUUAGU